Molecule: non-coding RNA, 3184 nt
Organism: Candidatus Kaiserbacteria bacterium
Lineage: Bacteria; Candidatus Kaiseribacteriota
Source: Rfam
GGAGUUCUGAGUAAGGGCGUGCGGUGGAUGCCUUGACUGAAGAAGGCGAUGAAGGACGCGGCUUAGCUGCGAUACGCUUCGGGGAGGUGCUAUGCAACCAGCGAUCCGGAGAUUUCCGAAUGGGGAAACCCCAUCGAGUUAACCCUCGGUGAUUCUCUACUUAAACGAUAGAGAAAGCAGACCUCGGGAAGUGAAACAUCUCAGUACCGAGAGGAAAAGAGAACAAUAGUUAUUCCCUUAGUAGCGGCGAGCGAAACGGGAGGAGCCCAAACUCAGCCACAAUGUAGUUCUGCGAAGCAAUUCGUAGGGCGACAUUGGGGAUGGGGGUUAUAAGACUACGGCGUGUACGCGAAAGCGUACGUAGAGUUAAAAAAUGCUUAGUUAGAGGAAUGCGCUGGAAAGCGCGGCCCUAGAGGGUAAUGGCCCCGUACUCGAAAACGAAGCAUCUCUAUGGCUGUAGUUCUUGAGUAGCUCGAGACAUGAAUAGCUCGGGUGAAUUUGCCAGGACUAACUGGUAAGGCUACAUACUUCUUCAGAUCGAUAGUGAACAAGUACCGUGAGGGAAAGGUGAAAAGAACCCCGGUGAGGGGAGUGAAAUAGACCUGAAACCGCAUGCCUACAAGGAGUCAGAGCGGGCAGCAAUGUCCGUCAUGGCGUGCCUAUUGAAGAAUGAGCCAACGAGUUGAUGCAUACGGCUUGGCUAAGGCCUUAUCGGCUGGAGCCGCAGCGAAAGCGAGUGUUAAUAGCGCGUAAGCCCAGCACUAACUUUGGCCUUGCUAUGAUUGGGGCAUGUACUACAUGUAUGUGCUUGAAGAUGAUAGCGGGGAAUUAUAUUUCGGUUCAACGAAUGAUUUAAAGCGACGGCUUUCCGAGCAUCGCCGCGGUCAUUCUCGAACGACAAAAGGCAGGAGAAUGUCAUUGGUCUACUAUGAAGCGUAUCGUGCGGAAGCCGAUGCGCGGCGAAGAGAAGACCAGAUGAAACUGCACGGUCAAGCGAAACGACAACUGAAAGAUCGUAUUCGUGAAAGCCGUCGAGGCCAAAGUUAGUGCUGGGUCGUCGUAUGUAUCAGACCCGAAGCAACGUGAGCUACCCAUGAGCAGGCUGAACGUUCUCGAAAGAGAACGGGAGGGCCGAACCCAUAGAUUGUACAACAUCUCGGGAUGACUUGUGGGUUGGAGUGAAAAGCUUAUCGAACGUUGUAAUAGCUGGUUCUCUCCGAAAGAGCUUUCGGGCUUGCGUCGCAUGUUCCCUUUGGGGGUAGAGCACUGGAAGGUUUCGACAGGUCGAAAGACCGCGAAACCUAUCAAACUCCGAAUACCAGAGGUUAGAGUGCGGCAGUUAGACUACGGGGGCGAAGCUCCGUUGGUCAAAAGGGAAACAGCCCAGAUCGCAAGCUAAGGUCCCUAAAUUUACGCUAAGUGCAAUGAAGGAGGUGAGAUUUCUUAGACAGUGAGGAUGUUGGCUUAGAAGCAGCCACCAUUCAAAGAAAGCGUAACAGCUCACUCACUUAGAGGUCUCGCGCCAAAAAUGAUCGGGGCUAAGCGUAGUACCGAAGCUGCGGAUUUAAUAUGUCUUCGGACAUAAUAAGUGGUAGGAGAGCGUUCCAAUCUGCGAUGAAGGUAAAGGGGAGACCCAUACUGGAGCGUUUGGAAGUGAAAAUGUUGGCACGAGUAACCGCAAUGCGAGUGAGAUUCUCGCACGCCGAAAGAUCAAGGUUUCCUUCGCAAUGGAGAUCAGCGAAGGGUUAGUCGGGCCUAAGCCGAUGGCGAACGCCGGAGGCGAUGGACACACGGUUAAUAUUCCGUGACCUGGGCCUGUUGCGAUGGGGUGACGGAGUGCUGUACCUCGAGCCCAUUAUUGGAUUUGGGUUCGGGUCGUGAGGGUGCGUCCCAGGAAAAUCCGGGAUGUAUCGCCCGAGCGAAACGAGAAUCUCUAGGCCUCGGCCGAAGGAGAUUCGAGGGAGCGCGCUUUCGAGAAAAGCCUCUAAGCUUAAACAGGUCUAGACCGUACCAAAACCGACACAGGUGAUCAGCUCGAGUAGAGUAAGGCGAACGAGUGAGAGGUCCUCAAGGAACUCGGCAAAAAAUCGACCGUAACUUCGGGAUAAGGUCUGUCCCUCGCAAGAGGGGCCGCAGCUAAAGAUUCCCUGACAACUGUUUACCAAAAACACAGCUCCCUGCGAACUCGUAAGAGGAUGUAUAGGGGGUGAUGCCUGACCAAUGCCGGAAGGUCAAACGCGAGCGGUGUACGCAUUUAUGUGUAUGCUGGAUUGUGUAAGCCCCGGUGAAUGUCGGCGAUAACUAUAAUCGUCCUAAGGUAGCGAAAUUCCUUGUCUGGUAACUGGAUUGCCAGGUUUAGGAGAAAUCCUAAACAAAACACUAGCUCAUAACGGUGAAGUCUUAAUCGGAGUGCUGUAAGGAAAACGGCGUGUUGAUGAAAGGAUAAUACCGUGGGAAGUCGUUUCGAAAGAGAUUGACCCCGUAACGACUUAUGCACCGCCAAUCAGGCGCGCAUAGAUGGUCUUGUUAUACUUAACGUAUGCAAGGUCAUAACACGCUAGCUCUUCCAAAGAAAGAACUCUCUCAAUACAUAUCGGGAUAUGUAGACGGUGAAGGAUGUUUUUCCGUUUCGGUGACGAAACGGCCCAAACUCCUCAUUGGAUGGGAAAUCAAACCAAGCUUUGCUGUCGGUCAAAAUUUUGAUCGGCGAGAAGUAUUGGACAUUAUGCAUUCGUAUUUUUCUUGCGGACACAUUCGCAGGGAUUGGGGUGAUAAAACACUCAAAUACGAAGUGCGUAAAGCAGAAGAUCUUGAAACACAGAUUAUUCCGCAUUUUCUCAAGUUUCCGCUGUUAUCAGCAAAGCACAAUGACUUUCUGAUAUUUGCGGACAUCUGCAAACGAAUGAGAUUGGGUGAGCAUCAUACAAAAGCUGGUUUGAGAAAAAUUCUUAAACUCGCGUAUGACAUGAAUGGCUCUGGGAAGCGCAAGCUUCCACUCGAAGCGAUUCUAAAAACUCUUUGAAGAUGAAGGUAUAGUCUAAUGCCCGUAGUAAUACGGGGAGAGUGUCAUAUCGCGCGGAUAUGGCGAUCAAGCUCAAUGAAGUUCAGACGCGCACGAAUGGUAUAAUGAUUGGGGAACUGUCUCGAGGACUUGCUCGGUGAAAAUACAAGGGCGGUGAAGAUG